This 450-nucleotide ribosomal RNA is filed under the name uncultured bacterium. Its description in RNAcentral is "partial 16S ribosomal RNA". It matches the Rfam family "Bacterial small subunit ribosomal RNA", at positions 354 to 796 of the family's 1533-position model. The record is from RNAcentral.
GUGGGGAAUUUUGGACAAUGGGCGAAAGCCUGAUCCAGCAAUGCCGCGUGCAGGAUGAAGGCCUUCGGGUUGUAAACUGCUUUUGUACGGAACGAAAAGCCCUGGGUUAAUACCCUGGGGUCAUGACGGUACCGUAAGAAUAAGCACCGGCUAACUACGUGCCAGCAGCCGCGGUAAUACGUAGGGUGCGAGCGUUAAUCGGAAUUACUGGGCGUAAAGCGUGCGCAGGCGGUUUUGUAAGACAGAGGUGAAAUCCCCGGGCUCAACCUGGGAACUGCCUUUGUGACUGCAAGGCUAGAGUACGGCAGAGGGGGAUGGAAUUCCGCGUGUAGCAGUGAAAUGCGUAGAUAUGCGGAGGAACACCGAUGGCGAAGGCAAUCCCCUGGGCCUGUACUGACGCUCAUGCACGAAAGCGUGGGGAGCAAACAGGAUUAGAUACCCCUGUAGUCC